Molecule: long non-coding RNA, 1158 nt
Filed under: Ananas comosus (pineapple)
Lineage: Eukaryota; Viridiplantae; Streptophyta; Magnoliopsida; Poales; Bromeliaceae
Description: long non-coding RNA (ACOM_LNC018211)
Source: RNAcentral
ACAUACUCUCGAUUCUAUAUUUAUAUAGAUAUAUAGAGAGAGAGAGAGAGUUGAGCUAGAAUAUUGUCGAUAGUAAACGAGCCGUUUUACUACUGAUUUGUUUUCGAUGAUAGAGCUUCCAAAUAGACGAUCGGCUCCUUAAAUAUGAUCUAAACCAUUUAAACUACCUAGAAAUCAAAUUUCACGCACUUUCGAUAUUGUUCUUUUAUCCAUCAAGUGAACAGAAAAAUGAAUGGCUGAAAAUGAAUAUUCUUUAAAAAAUGAUGAUAGGAGUCUUGUAAUCAAGAUCAAGAGUAUAGAUCUUGUUUUAAAUAGUUUAAAGAAUUUUCUAACAAAAAUUCAAUUGAUUUGGAUAUCUUUACGCUGUUAAACGAGAAAACGCUUCUUAUCGACCAUUAAAAUUACAAAUUUUGAAACCCUUUGAUCAUUAGGCAAAUGAUGUCGAAAAGAUUUAAAAUUUGAUUUCUAAACACUUCAAAUGGUAUAGAUAAUGUUCAACAGAGCCGAUCGUCAAUUUGGAAGCUCUAUCAACGAAAACAAAUAGGUAGUAAAACAACUCAUUUACUACUGAUAGUAUUCUAGCAAAACUCUCUCUCUCACACUCUCUCUCUCUCUCUAUAUAUAUAUAUAUAUGAUACGAAGAUAUUGAUUGAUUCCAGUUGAUCGUUAAUAGUGGUCAAUAUGAUAUCUGUUGGAUAUAGCACCUAGAAAAUUGAAACGAUAUUUGGUGUUCUAGAAUCUAAUUUAUUCCAAUUAUUAGGAACUCACUGUCAGAACAUUGGCGCUAACUAUUGAUGUCUAAAGUUCAAGCUACUAGAAAAAUACAAUUUAUUCAUUUAAAACAUAUAGAUACAGCAUCCACGGAUCUCGAUUAUGACUCGAUCCGACCAGCCUUAUACUAUUUCGAACAUGACUCAGUCCAACUUAGCCUUACGCCAUUCCAAAUGUAACUAGGCCUAACCUAGCCUCUCGUAACAGUGCAGAAUGCUAGUUGAUUCAUAUUUCCCUAACGUCGACCGUCCCUAGCUAGCACGAGUGGUAAACGACUUACUAGUUGCUGGUUAGUACCCGAGAUAUCAAGUUUGAAUCAUAAUUAAUUCAUAUUUUUUACUGAAUUUUUUAAAAACAAAAAUAAAUAAAAUAAAUAGUAUACAACCU